Venturia canescens is the source of this 764-nucleotide long non-coding RNA. RefSeq lists it as uncharacterized. The transcript has 3 exons. The record is from RefSeq and is a predicted model, not a curated record. Lineage: Eukaryota; Metazoa; Arthropoda; Insecta; Hymenoptera; Ichneumonidae.
AUAGAUAUAACACGCAUGAGCGAUUAUGAGCAACGCGCGAGUACUCAUUUUAUGCAGCACGUGCGUGAUGCAACUUCGUUAAAAUCUGUCGUGACGGGGACGCUCCGCUUUGUGCGAUACUCCGUCGCCGAGACUCGUGUACAUAAAAAGCCUUUUAGAAGCUUUUCAAGUUUCAUGGAAAUACAUUUUUUUUACGGUUCCUUACUCAUGAAAUAUUCAAUUUUCUCACACGAAUUCAUAGUUUUUCAUAACAAUGAUUAAAAACGAUAUUUCCACUUCAAUUUCAAUGAAAAAAUGUGAAUUAUUCUUUGGAGUUACGAGUGUAGAGUUCUCUUACGGAGAAACAGGCGAGAAAGUGUGAACGGGGUCGCCAGAAAAACAAGAAAAAUUUAUUAGAAGUACGAUGAGAGUAAACAGUGCGAUUCUCGCAAGCAAAGCGAUCGAAAUUAUCCAUAUUUAUGGGGAAGAGAAGAAAAGGAAGUCGAAGGAGCCUUCCUCCUUGCACGAGUUGAGGGAUGAAAAGGGCGAUCCGGUUGGUCCAGCCAUUGGUGUGCGUUUACGGCAACUUGGGUUCCGAGCGGUUUAGUCAGAACGAGGACGUCACCGACGACUGCAUUAUCUGGUUUCGUGAUCCGGAAAAUACGAUUCUGAUUGUUGUUAAUGAAAAAAAUACCCACACAAUGUAUUCGUUCGGCUGACAAACCGUCGAGGCAACGCCGCCUAUGGUGCACCAUGGAUUAACAACAGUUUGACCACCAGUAACC